UUUCAUGGAAAUGCUGCGACUUCAAUAUUCGACGAGUACUUUAGGUCCGACAUUACAAAUUCAAAUCCGUUGUCCCGAUUACGGUACCCACAUUUGGGUUUACAGAUUCACAGGUGGCAAACCAAAAGUGACAAACUACAACGAGAACACACGCACAGCAGGGUCAAAUGAUAGGUCCACCCUGCAACUAUUCUGAACCACGCUUCAUUCCCUCAGUCCACAAUUUCGAAGUACAGGAAAGUUGGCAUGUCAGCCUAGUCCCCCCUCACAGUCACGAUCUCAUAUGCGAGACUUCUUUGCAGGUGAUCAAAUAAUAUCUGCGCACACAAACAAGAUCACACAUUAGUGAUUAAAUGAGAUGUCUGAUUCCUUUACCCUACUGAAUCAAGACCUCGGGUAAAGCCCAUUGAUCUCACAGAUGUAGUGUACAAUGCAAACACCACUCUCCUCGAUGCCAACAGGCCAUUAGUCCAACUACAUUACCAAAAAAUUGCUAUUUUUGCUUCAUGAAGUGUACCAGAAACAUAAACUGCAAUUCAUUUUUUACAAAAUCAUUAUGUCAAUGUGAGGCAUCCAAAAGGAAUCACCACCUGUUAAAUCUCAUAGUUACCUUCUUUAGCCACUCAAUCUUGUAACCCAUUAGCUUGGAUUACAUCAUCUUACGUAUGAAAUCCUAGUCAACUUCAUUAUCUGGUUUGCAAAGUUCUUCCUGCAGUUCAUACACCUAAAUCAACUGUUAUUUAGAGACAUACCCACCAUAAAUCAUCUGUUGAUGUGAGAGGUACUUACCACAAAAAGCGGAUCAAAAAUCCCCCUCCAUCUUGCUAGCCAGCCACGGUACAUCUUCAUUUCUUUCACGCCCAACAUUUGAUGGAUGCCCCGCCAGCCAGUCACUGUAAUCUCACC
Molecule: long non-coding RNA, 906 nt
Filed under: Triticum aestivum (bread wheat)
Lineage: Eukaryota; Viridiplantae; Streptophyta; Magnoliopsida; Poales; Poaceae
Description: long non-coding RNA (TAES_LNC002604)
Source: RNAcentral